AGGCAGAGAACAUAACAUAUCACAGUAUACUGUUAUAAUUUUCUAUUUUGUUUUUAGAUAUGUUAGUCUCCUACUGAUUUACUUUAUAUGUUAAACUUUUUCAUAGCUAUAAGAAUAGGAAAAGCAUGGUAUGUAGAAGGUUCAAUAUUACCAUAGUCUCAGGCUGCUAUGAAGCAACAGCUGAAUAUCUCAGAACAAAGAAGGGGUGAUUACUGGAUAACACCUGGGAUGUGGUAGAUAAUUCUUCAAUGUGUCCUAAAUGCAGUUAUCUCUGCAUAGGAGGGAUUGGAAUAAAAAUCAAUAUAGCACUGGAAUGAAAGACAGUAAGGCGAAUGGAGCAACCCAUAUUUAAUCAUCUAAUCUGUAACUUGCCAAUAAAAUCUUCUGAGGUUGUGUGGAAACACAUAAAGUAUUUAAUUUGAGUAUUUCAGUUUAACUUCAAGAAAUUUUUUAUCUUAAAAUGCUAGAGAGGUAACAAAUUAAUUCAGUCACUCUGACAUUUACAUUUUAGUCUAAAUUGUUUUGAGUUUCUUUUGACUUUUCUAUAUUAAAAGUACAGAAUCCGGGUAAACGGCUGUGAGGGUAGGUUUACUAAUGGAUUGGAACUGGAAAUUUUCAUAAGGAAUUUAUUAGUUUCCUCUCUGUGAAAAGUAUUGCCUAUUGUGAGAAUUAAGUCAGAUAAUGCAUUGAAAACAUUUACUAUCACAGCUAACACACUAGAUACUGGAAAAAUUUAGCUAUUAUUCUCUGUGUUGAAUAUAUAUUUCAUUUUUAUCUUCUUACAAAUAUAACACCAAUAUCUAAUUUUAAAAUGAUGUGUAUACUAUGUGUGUGUGCCUCUCCAUCUGCGAGUGUGCACACAUCACAGCAUGCUUGUAGAGGUCAUAGGACAGUCAUGGGUUGUCAGCCGCCUUCUGCCUUGUUUGAGUGCUAUUUCAUCCAGAUUUCCGUGGGCUCUAGGCAUCAAACUCAGAUCCUCAUGCUUGUAAUGUGAACACCUUACCCAGUGAUUUUCCCCAGCCCCUGAAGAAGUUAUUUAAAAACCAGGAGACAGGCAGCUUCCAUUAUCUUAAUUUCUGAGUCUAUGAGAUUGGUGUGAAUGCAAAAGACUGCGCCAGGGGUCUGGCCUAGGUCCUCUAGCCUCUGUCAGCACUUAGCUCUCUUUCCAGCUGCCCUUAAAGUUAUGCUCAAGAUGGCAUGGCAGACAGUAAGAACUGGAGAGGACCUUGCGAUUCAUCCCAUCAUUUUAUAGAUACCUCGCCCAGUGUCACAGGGAAGCAGAAACAUGACUAGCUCAGAGCUUGCUGCUUAUCCAUCCACUCUGACAAGUGAUCCUGCUCCUGGCUAAUUUAUUAUGAUGUUGCCUACCUCUGCUAUGCCCUAGAUGUCUCAUGAUGUCACACAGGCAGAAGCCCAAACCGGGGCCUACAGCAGGCACUUGACAAUGGCUCCAUCAGUCCUCUGAUGUGCCUAGGUGAACACUGAGCAGUGGAGGUUGGAAACUAACACAAAUUUUUGUCUUUUUUCUUUUGAGACAGGGUCUCCUGUAGCACAGCCUAGCCUGUAACUCUAUGUAGUUAAGGAUGAUCUUCAAUUCCUCAUCAUUCUUCCUCUGAGUCCUGAGUGCUGGGACUUAAGGCUUGUGCCCUAAAUGCCUAGGUCUCUGCCAUGCAUUUAUCUUCUUGUGGUGAGAGUGUCCUCUUACAUCUGUGUACACUAGUGCCUCCCAUGUGGAAGUUUUCUGCUACCUUUGUAGGUGAUCAGGACACACUCAUGGAAUACAAGGGUCAUGUGGAAAUCACUGGCCUCUAGAGAGAAUACCUAGGCUAUGGUGGGGUGCUGCUUACUGGCUUGCUCCUCAUGGCUUUCUCAGCUUUAUUUCUUAUAGAACCCAGGACCAACAAGCAGAGGGGUGGCCCCAUUCACAAUGUGCUGGGCCCUCCCCCAUCAAUCACUAAUUAAGAAAAUGGCCUACAGCUGGAUCUUAUGGAGGCAUUUUCUCAAAUGAGGGUCCCUCCUUUCAGAUGACUCUAGAUUGUGUCAAGUUGACAUAAAACCAGUCAAGACACACACCAUCCACAAGAAGCAUUGUACCCAGAGGUUAAUUUUUAAGGACAGACCCAGUGUUCAAUUAGAACCUGGGACACAGCUCUUGAGAAAAGGAACAUCGCAAAUGGCCCAUCGUGUGAUUGACAAGGGGGGCAGCAGCUGGAUUGCAUCAGUAGUCAGGGCUGUUUUCGGUGACCUUUCUUGGGCUUGAACAUGCACAGCCAAGCUCUGGGGAAAGAGUCAGAAGCAAAUGUAAUGGGAGAGUUGAUUGGAUGUGAACAGUCAAGGUCAAAGGGUCUGCUCACAAAGGGGGACGGUCGUGUCAUUUGCCUGCCACAGAACCGUGUAGACAAACUACAAUGAGUCAGCCACUCGAGGAGUUCUCUGCCCCUGACCAAUUCUGCUCCACUCCACAAAAGUUAGACAGCUUGGUCCCUCUGUUUUUGAAUCACCCCCGUCUGGUUGUGGUGUGAUGGUAGAGGUUCCUGAUGUGCCAUCCCUGGGGCUCAUAUCCAGUGCAAUCAGGGCUUUCCAGCCCUGGAUUUAAAUGGAUCCUUCGGAAGGAAGAGGUUUAUACAAAACUCAGGGUUGUGAGGAGCUAGAUCACAAUGCAGUGUACCGGGAAUCAUUUUACAAAUGCAUCUUAAAAUCAAAGCUUCUUGUAAAGAAAACAAUAGAACUUAGUUCUGCAUUCAACCCUUUCCUCAAAUACUUACAUGGAAACAAUUCACACGAUGUAUCCUUGUCUGUUUACAUUUUCUCCUGAUGACAAUAGAAUGUUUUUCUAGUCCCCAGGUCACCAUCCAUUAUUUGGGGACAGAUUUAUCAUUUAAUAAAACCCUUGGGCAUCUGGAAGACUUGUUUCAAAACUGGAUAAG
RNAcentral lists this long non-coding RNA (2927 nucleotides) under Mus pahari (shrew mouse). RNAcentral's name for it is "predicted gene 42679 (MGP_PahariEiJ_G0032997.1)". The record is from RNAcentral. Lineage: Eukaryota; Metazoa; Chordata; Mammalia; Rodentia; Muridae.